This 263-nucleotide long non-coding RNA is filed under the name Lathyrus oleraceus (garden pea). Its description in RNAcentral is "Pisum sativum (pea) long non-coding RNA (PSAT_LNC009491)". The record is from RNAcentral. Lineage: Eukaryota; Viridiplantae; Streptophyta; Magnoliopsida; Fabales; Fabaceae.
ACUCCGAAUUUAUAACCUGAUUUUUGUGGACCUGUGGGCUCAAGUGAGAGAGGUUCAAGUCCAAAAUUUUUUCUUUUAUUUAUUUAUUUAUUUAUUUAUUUUCGUUUUCCGAUUUUUUUUUUCGAUUUUUUUUUUAUUUUUUUUCGGUUUUUUUCGUUUUUUUUUUCAAAACACGUGGGCUUCGCCUAGCGAGCAUGACAUCUCAUGAACAACCUUCGCUCCUUCAACAUUAACGUUUUAACUGACGAAUAGACCCCUGUUGA